This 621-nucleotide ribosomal RNA is filed under the name uncultured fungus. RNAcentral's name for it is "eukaryotic LSU rRNA". The stretch from base 231 to 384 matches the Rfam family "5.8S ribosomal RNA". The record is from RNAcentral. Lineage: Eukaryota; Fungi.
UCCGUAGGUGAACCUGCGGAAGGAUCAUUAUAUGGCAAGGGGCCGCUGGCGGGGGUCCGUUGCUUAACUGCGACGAUGCCGCCGCCGGACGCUUAGCCCUCGUCCCUUACCUUGAUUAUGUGCACCGUGUUUUAUUGUUCCUCGGCGGCGCUCUUGUGCCGCCGAAACAAUAGCCUUGGAACCCUUUUUGUAUCAGCAUCAAACUUCUGAAAACAAACUAAAUCGUUUACAACUUUCAACAAUGGAUCUCUUGGUUCUGGCAUCGAUGAAGAACGCAGCGAAAUGCGAUAAGUAGUGUGAAUUGCAGAAUUCAGUGAAUCAUCGAAUCUUUGAACGCACAUUGCGCCCCUCGGUAUUCCGUGGGGCAUGCCUGUUCGAGCGUCAUUUACACCCUCAAGCUUCUGCUUGGUGUUGGGCGUCUGUCCCCGCUUCGCGCGCGGACUCGCCCCAAAGACAUUGGCAGCGGUCGUGCCAGCUUCUCGCGCAGCACAUUGCGCUUCUCGAAGCUCCGGCGGACCCGCGUCCAUCAAGCCCACUCUCCAGGUUUGGACCUCCGGGGGGAUCAGGGUAGGGGGAUACCCGGCUGAACUUAAGGCAUAUCAAUAAGGCGGGGGAGGGGAA